AUUGAACGCUGGCGGUAUGCUUAACACAUGCAAGUCGAACGAUGAGAAAGAGCUUGCUCUUUCGAUUAGUGGCGGACGGGUGCGUAACGCGUAGGAAUCUACCUAUUAGUGGGGGACAACUUAGGGAAACUUAAGCUAAUACCGCAUACGCCCUACGGGGGAAAGAAGGGGAUCGCAAGACCUUUUGCUAAUAGAUGAGCCUGCGUAGGGUUAGCUAGUUGGUGGGGUAAAAGCUCACCAAGGCGACGAUCCUUAACUGGUUAGAGAGAAUGAUCAGUCAAUCUUGCACUGGGACACGGUCCAGACUCCUGCGUGAGGCAGCAUUGGAGAAUAUUGGAAAAUGCGCGAAAGCCUGAUCCAGCAACACCGCGUGUGUGAAGAAGGCCUUAGGGUUGUAAAGCACUUUCAAUUGGAAGGAAAACCUCGAAGCUAAUACCUUCGAGUUUGACAUUACCUUUAGAAGAAGCACCGGCUAACUCCGUGCCAGCCGCCGCAGUAA
Molecule: ribosomal RNA, 499 nt
Filed under: uncultured bacterium
Lineage: Bacteria
Description: partial 16S ribosomal RNA
Rfam family: Bacterial small subunit ribosomal RNA
Source: RNAcentral